GAUGAACGCUAGCGAUAGGCUUAACACAUGCAAGUCGAGGGGCAGCAUGGUCUUAGCUUGCUAAGACUGAUGGCGACCGGCGCACGGGUGCGUAACGCGUAUGCAACUUGCCUCACAGAGGGGGAUAACCCGUCGAAAGACGGACUAAUACCGCGUACACUUGGAGGGAGGCAUCUCCCAUCAAGGAAAAGAAAUUCGCUGUGAGAUAGGCAUGCGUCCCAUUAGCUAGUUGGUGAGGUAACGGCUCACCAAGGCAACGAUGGGUAGGGGAACUGAGAGGUUGAACCCCCACACUGGUACUGAGACACGGACCAGACUCCUGCGGGAGGCAGCAGUGAGGAAUAUUGGUCAAUGGGCGAGAGCCUGAACCAGCCAAGUCGCGUGAAGGAUGACUGUCUUAUGGAUUGUAAACUUCUUUUGUAGGGGAAUAAAGAACGGUACGUGUACCGUAGUGAAUGUACCCUACGAAUAAGCAUCGGCUAACUCCGUGCCAGCCGCCGCAGUAA
RNAcentral lists this ribosomal RNA (506 nucleotides) under uncultured bacterium. RNAcentral's name for it is "partial 16S ribosomal RNA". It matches the Rfam family "Bacterial small subunit ribosomal RNA", at positions 28 to 523 of the family's 1533-position model. The record is from RNAcentral.